GACGAACGCUGGCGGCGUGCUUAACACAUGCAAGUCGAACGGAAAGGCCCUGCUUUUGUGGGGUGCUCGAGUGGCGAACGGGUGAGUAACACGUGAGUAACCUGCCCUUGACUUUGGGAUAACUUCAGGAAACUGGGGCUAAUACCGGAUAGGAGCUCCUGCUGCAUGGUGGGGGUUGGAAAGUUUCGGCGGUUGGGGAUGGACUCGCGGCUUAUCAGCUUGUUGGUGGGGUAGUGGCUUACCAAGGCUUUGGCGGGUAGCCGGCCUGAGAGGGUGACCGGCCACAUUGGGACUGAGAUACGGCCCAGACUCCUACGGGAGGCAGCAGUGGGGAAUAUUGCACAAUGGGCGGAAGCCUGAUGCAGCAACGCCGCGUGCGGGACGACGGCCUUCGGGUUGUAAACCGCUUUCGCCUGUGACGAAGCGUGAAUGACGGUAAUGGGUAAAGAAGCACCGGCUAACUACGUG
RNAcentral lists this ribosomal RNA (468 nucleotides) under uncultured bacterium. Its description in RNAcentral is "partial 16S ribosomal RNA". It matches the Rfam family "Bacterial small subunit ribosomal RNA", at positions 28 to 507 of the family's 1533-position model. The record is from RNAcentral.